GACGAACGCUGGCGGCGUGCUUAACACAUGCAAGUCGAACGGAAAGGCCCUGCUUUUGUGGGGUGCUCGAGUGGCGAACGGGUGAGUAACACGUGAGUAACCUGCCCUUGACUUUGGGAUAACUUCAGGAAACUGGGGCUAAUACCGGAUAGGAGCUCCUGCUGCAUGGUGGGGGUUGGAAAGUUUCGGCGGUUGGGGAUGGACUCGCGGCUUAUCAGCUUGUUGGUGGGGUAGUGGCUUACCAAGGCUUUGACGGGUAGCCGGCCUGAGAGGGUGACCGGCCACAUUGGGACUGAGAUACGGCCCAGCCUCCUACGGGAGGCAGCAGUGGGGAAUAGUGCACAAUGGGCUGAAGCCUGAUGCAGCAACGCCGCGUGCGGGAUGACGGCCUUCGGGUUGUAAACCGCUUUCGCCUGUGACGAAGCGUGAGUGACGGUAAUUGGUAAAGAAGCACCGGCUAACUACGUG
This 468-nucleotide ribosomal RNA is filed under the name uncultured bacterium. RNAcentral's name for it is "partial 16S ribosomal RNA". It matches the Rfam family "Bacterial small subunit ribosomal RNA", at positions 28 to 507 of the family's 1533-position model. The record is from RNAcentral.